UGAAACUCAAAGGAAUUGACGGGGGCCCGCACAAGCGGUGGAGUAUGUGGUUUAAUUCGAUGCAACGCGAAGAACCUUACCAGGGUUUGACAUCCUGCGAACCUCUAAGAAAUUGGAGGGUGCCUUCGGGAACGCAGUGACAGGUGGUGCAUGGCUGUCGUCAGCUCGUGUCGUGAGAUGUUGGGUUAAGUCCCGCAACGAGCGCAACCCACGUUUUUAGUUGCCAGCAUUCAGUUGGGCACUCUAGAGAGACCGCCGGUGAUAAACCGGAGGAAGGUGUGGAUGACGUCAAGUCAUCAUGCCCCUUACAUCCUGGGCUACACACGUACUACAAUGCUACGGACAAAGGGCAGCAAACUCGCGAGAGCAAGCAAAUCCCAUAAACCGUGGCUCAGUUCAGAUCGUAGGCUGCAACUCGCCUACGUGAAGGAGGAAUCGCUAGUAAUCGCAGGUCAGCAUACUGCGGUGAAUACGUUCCCGGGCCUUGUACACACCGCCCGUCACACCAUGGAAGUUGGCCACGCCCGAAGUCGUUACUCC
This 540-nucleotide ribosomal RNA is filed under the name uncultured Cyanobacterium sp. RNAcentral describes it as "bacterial SSU rRNA". It matches the Rfam family "Bacterial small subunit ribosomal RNA", at positions 895 to 1436 of the family's 1533-position model. Lineage: Bacteria; Bacillati; Cyanobacteriota; Cyanophyceae; Chroococcales; Geminocystaceae. The record is from RNAcentral.